Molecule: ribosomal RNA, 253 nt
Filed under: uncultured bacterium
Lineage: Bacteria
Description: partial 16S ribosomal RNA
Rfam family: Bacterial small subunit ribosomal RNA
Source: RNAcentral
UACAGAGGGUGCAAGCGUUAAUCGGAAUUACUGGGCGUAAAGCGUGUGUAGGUGGUUAUGUAAGUUAGAUGUGAAAGCCCUGGGCUCAACCUGGGAAUUGCGUUUAAAACUGCUUAACUCGAGUAUUGUAGAGGAUAGUGGAAUUUCCAGUGUAGCGGUGAAAUGCGUAGAUAUUGGAAGGAACACCAGUGGCGAAGGCGACUAUCUGGACAAAUACUGACACUGAGACACGAAAGCGUGGGGAGCAAACAGG